GUAGCGUUAUCGAGAGUACCUGAAGAAAAAGCAUCGGCUAACUCCGUGCCAGCAGCCGCGGUAAUACGGAGGAUGCGAGCGUUAUCCGGAUUUAUUGGGUUUUAAAGGGUGCGUAGGCGGAAUGCCAAGUCAGCGGUAAAAUCGCGGGGCUCAACCUCGCUCCGCCGUUGAAACUGGCGUUCUUGAGUGGGCGAGAAGUAUGCGGAAUGCGUGGUGUAGCGGUGAAAUGCAUAGAUAUCACGCAGAACUCCGAUUGCGAAGGCAGCAUACCGGCGCCCAACUGACGCUGAAGCACGAAAGCGUGGGUAUCGAACAGGAUUAGAUACCCUGGUAGUCCACGCAGUAAACGAUGAAUACUAGCUGUUCGGGGCAAAUGGGCCUUGAGUGGCACAGCGAAAGCGUUAAGUAUUCCACCUGGGGAGUACGCCGGCAACGGUG
This 438-nucleotide ribosomal RNA is filed under the name uncultured bacterium. Its description in RNAcentral is "bacterial SSU rRNA". It matches the Rfam family "Bacterial small subunit ribosomal RNA", at positions 460 to 896 of the family's 1533-position model. The record is from RNAcentral.